Molecule: long non-coding RNA, 282 nt
Filed under: Physcomitrium patens
Lineage: Eukaryota; Viridiplantae; Streptophyta; Bryopsida; Funariales; Funariaceae
Description: long non-coding RNA (PPAT_LNC003434)
Source: RNAcentral
GACACAAUAAUAAAAAUCAUGUGGCAUAGACAAUAUCUGACACAAUUGACAAUGAUGUUGUUUGGAGUUUCAACACUUGAGCUAAUACUUGCAUGCAAAUCAAAGAGGAGGAACAAUGAUUUUGUUCAUUGAAAGAUAAAAACAAUAUUAGGAUUGCAUGUAAUUAAUAAAUUCAACAGCGGAGUGGAUAGAAAUCCUACAGCUGUGAUCUUGUCUCUAUUUAUAUUACACAAAAUGCAAAAAAGUAUCAAUUUAAGAUGCAACACUUUGAGAAAAUAAAAU